Molecule: ribosomal RNA, 594 nt
Filed under: uncultured Bacteroidota bacterium
Lineage: Bacteria; Pseudomonadati; Bacteroidota
Description: bacterial SSU rRNA
Rfam family: Bacterial small subunit ribosomal RNA
Source: RNAcentral
CAACCUACCUAUCAGAGGGGAAUAACCCGGCGAAAGUCGGACUAAUACCGCAUAAAACAGGGGCACCGCAUGGUGAUAUUUGUUAAAGAAAUUCGCUGAUAGAUGGGCAUGCGUUCCAUUAGGUAGUUGGUGAGGUAACGGCUCACCAAGCCGACGAUGGAUAGGGGAACUGAGAGGUUGGUCCCCCACACUGGUACUGAGACACGGACCAGACUCCUACGGGAGGCAGCAGUGAGGAAUAUUGGUCAAUGGGCGGGAGCCUGAACCAGCCAAGUCGCGUGAAGGAAGAAGGAUCUAUGGUUCGUAAACUUCUUUUGCAGGGGAAUAAAGUGCAGGACGUGUCCUGUUUUGUAUGUACCCUGAGAAUAAGGAUCGGCUAACUCCGUGCCAGCAGCCGCGGUAAUACGGAGGAUCCGAGCGUUAUCCGGAUUUAUUGGGUUUAAAGGGUGCGUAGGUGGUUUAAUAAGUCAGCGGUGAAAGUUUGCAGCUUAACUGUAAAAAUGCCGUUGAAACUGUUAGACUUGAGUGUAAAUGAGGUAGGCGGAAUGCGUGGUGUAGCGGUGAAAUGCUUAGAUAUCACGAAGAACUCCGAUU